GGUUGUCGGCGGUCUGAAAAACCGGGAAUUCAUAGGGAAAGACAGGGAAUUUUGCAAGUUGCGCUCAGCAGAAGUAAAUGCAAUUUAAAGGGAAAAAAUCGAAGUGGAAGUUGUAUUCGAAUGUCAAGGAAUUUGAAGAUGAAGAAGUUUUGGCAACCCUGUUCUUCGGCAAAAUAUGCAGUAAUAAGGAAAUACGUACAUGCUGGGGUAAAUAGAGCGCUAUCGAAAAAACGAUGUUUUAUCAGACGUGGUUACCGCAUCUUGGACCAGAGUUCAACUUUAACCGAGGAUGGUAGAACUGGCCGGAAAAUAGGUCCAAACGGUUUCUUUUAAGGGUUCUGAAUUGUUUUAUCUUCACUUCUACAUUCUUAUUUGUUCUUCUUUAUCAUUCUUCUUUUAUCUUUGUCAUUUAUAGAUCCAUCAAGACCGUUAAAUCUCACUUUUUCAGUGUCCAAGGCCCAACUUUAACCCUUUUCCAUCCGCGCUGAAGCCCCAAAAAUAUGGGAAUCAUACCAGCAAGGCCGUGUAAACCAUCCACCCUGCACCAAGGGCCCAUAGAAACCGAGCAGUCCAGUCCCACCUGAUGUCCUGGAGAAUCCUAUCACUAGUUUUCAUACCAAAUGUCACGAGAAGCUGUGUACUCCCGUCCUGAAAGAUUUUUCAAAGGCUUUUCCUUGUAAUUUAUGCAAGAAAGCGUAUUCUAGAUGCACUUCUCUUCUCGGUCACGUGAAGAUGCACACCGGUGAUACGAAAUGCAAAAUAUGUGGGAAGGUUAUGUCUACAGUCGGGAUGUUGAGAGUACACUUGACGUCCACGGGAGUCCCACGGAAGAAAGGCAUGGAUCAAGAGAAGUCACGCCGAAUGCCCCUCUGUUUGCAUGCGAUCAUUGUCAAAAGGAGUACCAUUCUCGCUGUGCUCUGAUCAGACACAUGAAGGUGCACACCGGUGAAGGAAGCUGCAAAGUAUGGGGAAUAUGUCGCGGGUGGUCCUCAAGAUUUCACGUACGUUUCGGUCUACCCAAAGAACGGGGCCAUUGAAGGAACGACUCAUGAAGUGGGCGUUGUUCAGUGGAGAAUAAUUGCCGAAUAUGAUGCGCCUUACCGUCUUCCCAGUUUAAAUUGGUAUGCUGAGUCAGAUUUAUUCUAUUAUUUUAUUUUCUAAGUUUAGUAAAUAAUCAGUCUAAAUAAUUUAACUGUGGUACUUCAGUUACGGUAUCAUACAAUACAUCACAUUACCUGCAUUACAAU
RNAcentral lists this long non-coding RNA (1247 nucleotides) under Bemisia tabaci. RNAcentral describes it as "lncRNA ENSSSA1NGG012017". Lineage: Eukaryota; Metazoa; Arthropoda; Insecta; Hemiptera; Aleyrodidae. The record is from RNAcentral.